This is a long non-coding RNA of Alligator mississippiensis (American alligator), 1349 nucleotides long. RefSeq lists it as uncharacterized. The record is from RefSeq and is a predicted model, not a curated record. The transcript is spliced from 2 exons. NCBI's taxonomy places the organism in Eukaryota, Metazoa, Chordata, Crocodylia, Alligatoridae.
CGCGCUGAAAGGGGAGGUUGGAGGGUAAGCGAUACGUCACGCCGCCUAAGCUCUUUCGUUCCCUACCGACUGGCCGGACAAGACGGGACGGUCUCGCCGGCGUGAGCGAGCAGAUGGCACCGCGCACAGGACGCGAGCAUGUGAAAGGACUUCGACAGCGCCCGUGUCCAUCUGCUUUUCUUGCGUCAAGUUAAAGGAAGUUUUUGGCUGUUCCAACUAUCGUGCCUGGUAGCCGAGUGGGAAGGUUGGUCCUCGAGUUUUAACACGAGGAUGGGCCUUCCUUGAGCAGGGGCUCAGACUAGAUGACAUCCCGAGGGCCCUUCGAGCCCUACUUGUCUGUGAUUCUGCGAGUCAAAAUAAUUUGUAGCUCCCUACAGUUCUGGGACUCUGGCCUCUCGGUACUAUGGCUUUAUUAAUAUUUGGUGCUGCUCUAUAAAAGCAAGCCUGCCAUGAUUAGAAAAGUAGUGGGCAAAAAGGAGCAUGUAGCAUCCUGGCUUCAACAAAGCAUCAAUAACAGACAAGUCCCUGCCAGCAGAGAGGCUAGAACCACGUGUGGGGAAAAACCCCAGCACUGAUUUCGGAUGUCGCUGUCCCUGGUUUCAUAGCUCUGGGAUUGCCUGGGAAAGACCCCGCGUGAUCAACCUGCAAGGUUGUUGCAUCUGAACCCGUGCGCUGGAUCUGGCAUGACAAAGAUUCAGAAGAAAAUGAACAACAGAGCUGGGGUUGGGAGAAGGAGCCUGUUAAAAAGUCUUGCUGUUUAAGCUUUGGAGCAUCAACUCGGUAGAGAAGGAGGUUCCCAGAGAUGGGACAGGUCAGCUCCUCUCCCUCCGAGGCCCAGCAGUGCUUUCGGCACUACCCACUUGUCCUUUACCCCAUGGAGCCCAAACCAGGGGGGUUCUGCUCUGAGCCUGGGCCCAGCCUAGCAGGAGCUUUGUGCUGAUGGUUGGUCCCGUCGCCUGAGGACACGAGGCGCAAAGCCAUGUCUGGCAACAUGUCUGUCGCUCCCCGAUACCAAUCUGCCCUGUUUCUCAUGCCUCCUGGUCUGCGACAGCACCUCGGUAGGAGAUCUGCCCGUCAGGCACGCAAUUAUGGCAGCUCCAGGUAGGGGGCUUUGGGUCUGAACAAAGGGCUGGCGUGAUCUAAGGGCUUGGAAAGCAUGUUUAAUCACUCGGGUCUUUAGGCAGCUGAGAAACGACUAAUGCCAUAAUGAGCAACACGCGUCACCCCUGCACUUGAUGCACAAAAACAUUUGGGUCACAUCAAGCUUGCAUGCAAAGGCAUUUAUGAAUCAGCGCAGCCCUGCGGGGUCUGCGCCUUGACUGCUGCUAAUAAAGGGCUUCCUCCCACUA